Mycena galericulata is the source of this 90-nucleotide non-coding RNA. NCBI's taxonomy places the organism in Eukaryota, Fungi, Basidiomycota, Agaricomycetes, Agaricales, Mycenaceae. The record is from the annotation of a GenBank genome assembly.
GCUCUCGUGGUCUAGUAGAAUGAUACGCGCUUUGGGUUAAACAUGAACUUCGUUUGCGCGGGGUCCCGGGUUCAAAUCCCGGCGAGGGUC